GCACUCGUAGCUCAGAGGAUAGAGCAACCGCCUCCUAAGCGGUAGGUCGCGCGUUCGACUCGCGCCGGGUGCGCCA
RNAcentral lists this transfer RNA (76 nucleotides) under Fusibacter tunisiensis. Its description in RNAcentral is "tRNA-Arg". It matches the Rfam family "tRNA". Rfam says of the family: Transfer RNA (tRNA) molecules are approximately 80 nucleotides in length. Their secondary structure includes four short double-helical elements and three loops (D, anti-codon, and T loops). Lineage: Bacteria; Bacillati; Bacillota; Clostridia; Eubacteriales; Fusibacteraceae. The record is from RNAcentral.